CUUCAUGAGACUGUACAGCUAUAUUGAACAAACCAUAACCAAAACACGCCAAUAAAAGCGGGUUUUCCCCGCCAACGGUUCGCAAUUUUAAAAAAUGUAUCAAAAACGCUGAUCUGUUACAAUUCACACACAGGAAGUCAAACCGAAACUCCAUCGAUAAAUUUUGUCCGGAAUAAAACAUUGGCGUUGCUAAACAUACCAUCUUUCAAUGACACAACCACAAACUGAAACAAAUUAAACACAGAAUUUGUUUAUCUUCAAUAAUUAACAAAAUAAAACAAUAUUUAUUUA
Long non-coding RNA from Dalotia coriaria, 291 nucleotides. RefSeq lists it as uncharacterized. The record is from RefSeq and is a predicted model, not a curated record. Lineage: Eukaryota; Metazoa; Arthropoda; Insecta; Coleoptera; Staphylinidae. The transcript is spliced from 2 exons.